RNAcentral lists this ribosomal RNA (229 nucleotides) under uncultured bacterium. Its description in RNAcentral is "partial 16S ribosomal RNA". It matches the Rfam family "Bacterial small subunit ribosomal RNA", at positions 568 to 796 of the family's 1533-position model. The record is from RNAcentral.
AGUGUAGGCGGCUACGUAAGUCGGGUGUGAAAGCCCAGGGCCCAACCCUGGAACUGCAUCCGAUACUGUCAGGCUAGAGUCCCGGAGAGGGUGGCGGAAUUCCCGGUGUAGGGGUGAAAUCCGUAGAUAUCGGGAGGAACACCAGUGGCGAAGGCGGCCACCUGGACGGUGACUGACGCUGAGACUCGAAAGUGUGGGUAGCAAACAGGAUUAGAUACCCUGGUAGUCC